UCUCGGGGAUGAAUAUUUUUCCAAAAAAACAAAGCAAUGAUUCUAACCUAAAUUAACAUAAAACGUCUGUGGCUGUAUGCUGUCACCGCGUGUUAGCUGUCUCCAACUGCGGCGACUAACAUCUAUUUUCUGAAAACAGCUAUUUUCUGAAAGGCACAAAAAUCAAUGGUUUCACACAUCGAUCAACAUAAAACAUCUGUUUGUUCGCUUCCCGGGUCUUCCCUGUGUGGAGAGCGCUUUGAGUAGUGAAAAAAGCGCUAUAUAAAUGUAAAAGAACUAAUUAAAAGAAUUAUGUCACCGUGAGACGCAAUCUGGAUUGUACUGAGCCCCUCGUGUACCUCAUGUGGACAAAAGUCGACAUCUGCCCUAAAACACUUCCCUUCCUCACCAUCUUCCACUUAACGCCUUAACUCUUCCACUUAACACUUAACUCUCUUCUCCGUACAGGUAAAGUAAAGUUACAUUUUCGUAUUUAUUCUUUUUGUGUAAGAUUGUAUGCAUUUUCAUUGUUCUAGUAUACGAUUUUAUGCAUGAAGUGCGGUUAUAAAGGUUUAAAUAAGCAGUCAUGGGGUUCGGGAACGGAUGAAUCCAUUUUACAUGAUUUGGGGAAAAUGGUUUCAGUUUUUAAACAAAUCGGUUUCUGAAGAGCUUUUAGGAAAGAAUUUAUAAUCGACAUCCGAGGUUCCACUGUAUUUCCUUAUUUAUUUUUUUGUGUAUUAAAUUAAUUAUAUAACCAUUUACUUAUUUCAAUGCCUCCGACAAGUUACGAAACACACCUUGAAAUUUAAUUAUUCAUAGAUUUAUUUAUCUGCGUAUUUAUUAAUUUUGACCAAAAUAUGCCUCCAUAUUAGAUAUAUUUAUGUUCUUAAAUAAAUAUUGAAUGUAGCAACAACAAAGUUGAAAAAUUUAAUGACAGUUUAAGUUGCUUUAGCCAAUAUAUUAAACUGUUCUAUCUAGCUUGUUAAACAACUGCUCUCUCAAAGCUAAGAUUGAAGUUCUUUCAUGAGGUCUCAUCAUGCUAGUGAAGGUGAAUUACCUUCAGGUGAAGAAAUACAUCAAAUUGCAAGAUGGGUUCACAUUUGAGGAGUUUCUAAACAUAGGUAAAUUUGAAUUUAAUUAUGUCUGAUUUGAAAAGUUAAUUUUAUUGACAUUUAUAACCAAAUUUAUCUUGUUUUAGUAAAAAACAAAUUGGGCUUACAGCCAACAAUGCACUUCAAAUCUUUGAUGAGACAGAUACUAAUGUGGAGGAAGAUGUUUUUCAAGAGUUGGUUCAGAGCAACCCACAGAUAUGCUUCACAGUAAAAUGUCCUCCACAAGGAUUUUUUGCUGACCUGGAUUUUUCCGGUGGCAUGUAAUGUCUUUCUGAAAUGCUCAAAUUUCUUUAGAUAGAUAGAGAUAGAGAUAAAUAAAAUAUUUGAAAAUUAAUCAAUAUUGAUCUCCCCUUUAAAAAAAAAAAAAAAAAGAAUUUUCACCCACAGCUACCUCAACACCAAUGCGCUGAUAGACUUUCAAACUCCAGUGAUGUAGAAAGGUUAGAGAGAACCCAACUGAACCCGUCUGCAAGCUCAAACUCUAAUAAUGGCAGAGAAAUCACAGGUGCUGAAAAGGCAAAACAGGUUGUUCAAAAUGCCCUGAAAGCGAAACCUGGUGGUUUGGAUGUUCUCAAAGAAUAUGAGUUAACUAAAACACUGAAGCACAGCAUGAGACGACAGCUUGUUAAUGUUCUUAUUAGCCAUAUGACAGAGGUUCAUGGGUAAGCUAUCGGAGAAUUAAUAAAUCAACACAAUAUCAAGCUUGCUUUGCCUCUAUUCAUACAGAUAUGGAGGUUUAAGUUUUGUAUAAAUGACGAAGUUCUAUUUAAUCUUAUAAAAUUUUUUGGGAGGAUUCCCACCUGUAAACAGAGAGAGACAUAUGCCUAGCACUUAUUUUUGUAUUUAUUUAUUUAUUUAUUUAUUUAUUUUUACUUAGUCCUGUAUAUAGAAUAGUUUGCUGUGCUCAAUGUUACAGACCAGUGUUUACACCAAAUGAUUAAUAGCUGCUGUAACCUACAUGUACAAAAAUGUAAAUUAACACUUGGAUCCCCUGUAUAUUGACACUGAGACCAGGCUUUUUUAUAUAUUUAAAUCAUUUUGGAUGGGAAACCUGCUUUUUUGUUUUAUAGGUUUUGAAAUAUCGUGUAAACUAUUUUGUUUAAUAAAACCAGCAUUUUGAAAA
Erpetoichthys calabaricus (reedfish) is the source of this 2214-nucleotide long non-coding RNA. RefSeq lists it as uncharacterized. Lineage: Eukaryota; Metazoa; Chordata; Cladistia; Polypteriformes; Polypteridae. The transcript is spliced from 2 exons. The record is from RefSeq and is a predicted model, not a curated record.